GGUUGGUUGUUUACAAACCUAAACACAAAUUGAAAUUAAUUCUCGUCACCUACUGUUCAUAAAAUUUUAGCUUUCUGACUACAAUUUCAGCAAACCAGGAGCUGAUCGAGAACCAGGUGCCCUAUGGCAAUUGUGUCAUUUACAUCGAAUUGGAGGAAGUUGGCCACUGAUUUAAAGGAAGGAAAUCAUUCACGCCCCACAAAUUGCUCCACAUAUGAAAUUUAUGUCCCAAUUAUGGUUAUCAUCAGCUUUACAUUAUUUUGAAAUUUUCCUCAUAAAUCUUGUGCUCUCAGGAUUACUUACACCGCGGAGCUACUGCUAUCGUUUAAACGCGGGAAUAACUUACAAGGGUGCCCAAAGUGAAAUGUAAGUAGUUACCGUUACCCCCUGCAGUUUACUCGAAUCGCAGUGCCGUCUCCUGCGCAAAAAGCGACCAGCACAGAUGUCUUGGCUCAAGGAUGCACAACUGCCAAAGGAACAUUCAGCAUCCUGUUCUUCUUGUUGUCGGUAUGUUUGCCAUCGAUGAUGGUCGGGUAUGUUUCACAUCACAGAGCUAUGCCACGUACAGCAUUCGGCUAACGACCAUCCAAAAAUCACGGCUGUUGUGCGUCGAAGUGUGCUUUGUCAUGUGUCAUAGAUAACAGUUUCUGCCUGUCACCAAAUGCCCCAGUUAAGAACGUCAUUUUUAAGACGAAGAAAUUUCGCGAACCAGAUUUUUUUUUCUUACGGCAAUUAGAAUAAAAAAUCAGUUUUCUUUUUUUGCUUUUGAAACACACAAAAAAAGAAGUUCUGAUCAACUGCAAAGGUUCUCAGUUUAAGCAGCAAUCGAGUCGAAAAUCCACAUUCCUUUAUUGUUUUUGUUUGUUUUUUAAUUUUUAUCGCCAAGUGCUAGAGACAAAAGAGAAAUUUCUUAAGUCUGACGGGAUAAAUUCUUAAGGUCCAUUAAGGUUCCGUCUACAUAACGUCGUAUUCUCUCUCCUCGUUGACAGAGUGAAUAACAAACUGGAUUGCUUUUCGUCACCUGUGUUGUUUAUGAAAUCUUUCAUCGUGGUCCGUCUCGGCCAUCGUACCAGAAAACCCAAUUCAUGUACACAAAAACAGAUGAAAGAUGAGGUGUGUACGUAGACUUUAUCUUCACUUUGCUUGGUGCUGGUCUUGGGGCGUUUGUAUACAAAAGGUAUGGCGCGUUCUUUCCGAUUGUUUGCUCAGGUUAUCGAUAGACACUUGUGUACAGAGCUGAUGCGACCAGUUUGUAACAGUAUAUGUAGACUGCCAAAAGUUAUCAACAUUGAUGAUAACACACUCGGCUCAUCUAUCUUAACACACAUAUACACGUACAGUAUCUGUCCGGUUGCUGUACAAAUAUGCACCAAAGCUUUAUCCUAUAUCAAUAUUUUUUUCUUUUUCUCUCUCUUUCUUUUGCUGACCAACGGCCGAGUGCAAAAUAAACUGACGGUUUAAAAUACAAACCUGGGCGAAAUAUGUAAGUCAAAUAACAGAUUGCAGGAAAUGCAGCUUACCGAAGUUCUUGAAAAAAUAAAAGUGCUAAAGAUUUUGUAAUGGCGAUACAAAAAAAACAUGUUUCUCUUAUAUUUUUAUGAAAGUAGAAACCUAGACAAAAGAGUACGAUAAUAACUCAAAACAGCAAAGCAAAACAAGGCGUACGAAUGCUUCGUUAUUGAUCCAUCAAAUGCUUCAUUCUGAUCAAACGCUUUGAUGGUUCUUUGAUGGCCGAUUUUCAUCCAUCCAAAUGGUUUCAUCUUUUUCAUGCUUUAUUUAUUUCUUCCCCCCAGAGCCCCCCUAGACUUCGAAAAAGGAGAGAAGAAUCUCUGUUAUCCAGCUCUAACUCCAGCAUAUUUAUUGUCCGUGCCAUGGGGUACCAAUUUACGAAAGUACUACAACCAACCUGACAUCUAUUGACUUAAAAAUUGCUGUCGUCUGCGAAAAAAAAAUGAAAAA
This 1959-nucleotide long non-coding RNA is filed under the name Daphnia magna. RNAcentral describes it as "uncharacterized LOC116927401". Lineage: Eukaryota; Metazoa; Arthropoda; Branchiopoda; Diplostraca; Daphniidae. The record is from RNAcentral.